AAUAAACUCAGGAGAGUCUCUUGAAAAAGAGCGCCGAAGGUGUACGCAGUCUGCACAGACUGUUAAUCUCUCAGGCAAAAGGAUGGAGGAGUAA
Molecule: non-coding RNA, 94 nt
Filed under: Mediterraneibacter massiliensis
Lineage: Bacteria; Bacillati; Bacillota; Clostridia; Lachnospirales; Lachnospiraceae
Description: Glycine riboswitch
Rfam family: Glycine riboswitch aptamer
About the family: This family represents the bacterial glycine riboswitch.
Source: RNAcentral